RNAcentral lists this ribosomal RNA (424 nucleotides) under uncultured marine bacterium. Its description in RNAcentral is "bacterial SSU rRNA". It matches the Rfam family "Bacterial small subunit ribosomal RNA", at positions 958 to 1380 of the family's 1533-position model. The record is from RNAcentral.
AACGCGAAGAACCUUACCAACACUUGACAUGUUCGUCGCGACUCUAAGAGAUUAGAGUUUUCGGUUCGGCCGGACGAAACACAGGUGCUGCAUGGCUGUCGUCAGCUCGUGUCGUGAGAUGUUGGGUUAAGUCCCGCAACGAGCGCAACCCUCACUUUUAGUUGCCAUCAUUAAGUUGGGCACUCUGAAAGAACUGCCAGUGAUAAGCUGGAGUAAGGUGGGGAUGACGUCAAGUCCUCAUGGCCCUUACGGGCCGGGCUACACACGUGAUACAAUGGUGAUUACAAAGGGCUGCUAAAGAGCGAUCUCAAGCAAAUCCUUAAAAGUCAUCUCAGUUCGGAUUGCACUCUGCAACUCGAGUGCAUGAAGUUGGAAUCGCUAGUAAUCGUAGAUCAGCGCGCUACGGUGAAUACGUUCCCGGGUC